CAACCAGUCAAUGCGGGAGCCUUCUCAGCUGGACCCAGGGCCACACCUCUGCCCACCGGCUCACACCUGGGCCAUGCAAGGCGGGGUGGAUGCACCUGCCUGGCCCUUGAGCGCGUGGGGGAGCCACCGUUGCCCACUUGGGAGGCUCAGUUCUGAGGUCGGGAUUCCAGGCACUCCCUUCUCCCCCAUUCCGAAACCUCCUGACUGGAAGAACUCUCUCGGCACAGCCUUUUCUUUCAGGGUCCCAAAGUGCCUGUGAGCAGGCAGCUCCUGAUCUCCUCUGUGACACCCACAGACUCAAAGACACCCAUAUGCUCACUCAUGCAGACAGGCGCUCUCGCCUGUGGCUCUGAGGCUGAGCCGGCUUUGCCUUGGUGAAGGACAAGGCCCUGGCGACCCAGAUUCUCUCGUGGGUGGCUGGGGACAGAAGGGCGGUGGCGCGCUGGGCUGGCUGGAGGGCUCAGGCUCCGGCGCGAGUCCUGCAAGGAUGCUGCCUCCAAGUGUGCUUGUGGGUGGCGGAUCCCAGGGCCUGCCGGGAGAGUGUCCACUCCUCAGGAGGCCUGGCUGCUCAGCGGCGCCCCUCUGUGGCGAGACUCGCCCAGGCCCAUGUCCGGCCCAUCUCGCCCCAGCCAGGCUCCCCUGGGCAGCCUCAGGACAGAGAACCCUGAAUUCAGAGGGAGGCUGGAGGUGUGGGGCCUCUAGGCACUUGCAGGGUGGAGCUACCCCACACCCAGGGCUCACCCUCAGACCUACCCAGGCGUCUCCAGCCUCACGCUCCCAGAGGUAAGGAAGGGGCUUCAGGAAGGUGGGGGCUACCUCCCCGCCCAGUACCGUCAGGCUCUGAAUUCGUACCUGGGAACUCUGCCUUGGCUGACUUGGGGACCCCUUCACUGCUCAGCCUUCCCCUCUCUUCCUGCCGGGCGGUCCACCUAAGCUCCCUGACUCUUCCCACGCGGCCCUGGGUCCCCUCCCCACAGGCUGUUCCCUGCACCCGCGGGUGGGACUGGACCUUUCCCUGCACGUCCAGUCUGUUUCCCGCGGUCUUCCUCCGUCUGACCCUGGCAGCCCGCUCCUCUGGCCCCGGGCUGUGUGGGGACCGCUUUCCCCCAGGCCCGUCGUCAGUGUCCUGAGCUCCGCCGACUCCCGCCCAUUGGCGUCGCAGGCCUGGUGACAAGCUGUCGCUGGCAUCUAGGGCUCCUGGGACUCAGGCACAUGGAGCUCCCUCGGGGCCAAAUUUGUGUCACGCGCAGGGACACCGGAGGCGCGUGCACAGUCCGUGUAACGGCUUUGCUUGGCGCGUCUCCGUUUCUCUUCUGAGGGGCUGAGAGUCGCGGAGUUUCCUAGUUGGAGGCUGUGGCGGACGCGAUUUGCUUCCUCAUAUAGGGUUCCGGAGGCGGCGAAAAGUCCAGCGGGUCUCCGAAGCCGGUAGACGGAGCCAUGAAGAAGACGUCGGGCUUCAGGAGGGGGAAGGGCGGGCUGCCCUGGGGCUCGGUCAGCAGCCCCGGGAAGGUGGGCGCGGGCGCCGGGAGUGAGAGUGCGGACCACGCCUCCUCCCAGCCCAGGCGCCACGACCCGGACAAGGGGUUCGACAGGCUCCGCAGAGCUGCCGGCCGACACCGGACAGAGACGAUGCGGCGGAUCCUUUCUCUGCCGAAGAGUGGCGUGGAUGACAGAGACGAGAAGAACAGGCUGUCCAACGAACAGAGUUCUGGUGACUCAUGGCUUUCAAUAGAUGAUGAACUCUUUGAUUCUGGUACCAAGACUACCUUUGAGAAUGUUCCACAGAAAUAUGAUAGUCACUUAACUGGAGCUGAUGAUGGUCAAAGAGGAAAAAUUACAAUAAAGGAACAAGAAGGACCACACUCUCAGUAGCAAGGGUAUAGCUGUGCCUUCAGAGAAAUCUCGAAGAAGAGCCCUUGGAUCACCACUCAAGACAUAACAGGAUCAAGGGAAAGCAUGAUUUUCCCUUUAUUUCUGAGCGUGUCUCUGGCCAGAGGGGAAGGAGAAAGAGAUGAAGAAACAGAAAUCAUCAUUGGAAGAUACUACUGCUAAAUGAAGAGAAGAGAAGUCAUGGGAAUAGUCCAUCAAAAGGCGGCAGAAAGGUCAGAAUCAGGACAACAGAUCUAGAGACUACUUUUGCAAAGGAAGAGGGAUUGUGAGUGGAGGAGGAGGGAGGAAAGAAAGAAGUUGGCUAGUUAAUUUUGGAGUUGAUAAUAGGGAAACUUGAGAGCUGUCACUUCUAGUGACUGCAAUAUAUUGGCACUCAAACAGAAGAUUAGGUGAUUGCUGUUCCAGGAAUUACUGGAAGGAGGGAGUGCUAGAAUGGGGGUAAACCACAGGAACUAAUUUCUUCUCUCUGUAACUAUCAGACAUCAAAGA
This 2379-nucleotide long non-coding RNA is filed under the name Homo sapiens (human). RNAcentral's name for it is "non-protein coding lnc-ATP12A-3:1". The record is from RNAcentral. Lineage: Eukaryota; Metazoa; Chordata; Mammalia; Primates; Hominidae.